GAGAGGUUAGCAUGUUUUGUUGUAGUCUCUGUUAUUGGUAAUGGUGAGAGGUUAGCAUGUUUUGUUGUAGUCUCUGUUAUUGGUAAUGGUGAGAGGUUAGCAUGUUUUGUUGUAGCCUCUGUUAUUGGUAAUGGUGAGAGGUUAGCAUGUUUUGUUGUAGUCUCUGUUAUUGGUAAUGGUGAGAGGUUAGUAUGUUUUGUUGUAGCCUCUGUUAUUGGUAAUGGUGAGAGGUUAGCAUGUUUUGUUGUAGUCUCUGUUAUUGGUAAUGGUGAGAGGUUAGCAUGUUUUGUUGUAGUCUCUGUUAUUGGUAAUGGUGAGAGGUUAGUAUGUUUUGUUGUAGUCUCUGUUAUUGGUAAUGGUGAGAGGUUAGUAUGUUUUGUUGUAGUCUCUGUUAUUGGUAAUGGUGAGAGGUUAGCAUGUUUUGUUGUAUCCUCUGUUAUUGGUAAUGGUGAGAGGUUAGCAUGUUUUGUUGUAGUCUCUGUUAUUGGUAAUGGUGAGAGGUUAGCAUGUUUUGUUGUAGACUCUGUUAUUUAUUAUCUAGAUCUUUUUUAAUCAUGGCAUCCUCAAAUCAAAUCAAAUCAAAUUUUAUUUG
Long non-coding RNA from Oncorhynchus tshawytscha (Chinook salmon), 592 nucleotides. Lineage: Eukaryota; Metazoa; Chordata; Actinopteri; Salmoniformes; Salmonidae. The record is from Ensembl.